GAUGAACGCUGGCGGCGUGCCUAAUACAUGCAAGUCGAGCGAACACACGAGAAGAUCGCUCUCCUGACGUUAGCGACGGACGGGCGAGUAACACGUACAUCACCUACCACUAUGUCUUGGAUGACUACGGGAAACCGGUGCCACUACUGCAUCAUACAUUCAACCGCAUGGAUCAAUAGUGAAAGGCAGCUUGCCUGUCACAUAGAGACGGUUCCGGGCCGCAUUAGCUAGUUGGUAAGGUAACGGCCUACCAAGGCAACGAUGCGUAGCUGACCUGAGAGGAUGAUCGGCCACACUGGAACUGAGACACGGUCCAGACUCCUACGGGAGGCAGCAGUAGGGAAUCUUGCACAAUGGGCGCAAGCCUGACGGAGCAAUACCGCGUGAGUGAUGAAGGUCUUCGGGUCGUAAAGCUCUGUUAUUAGGAAAGAACAGAAGUGUGAGUAACUAUGCAUGUCUUGACGGUACCUAAUGAGAAAGCCACGGCUAACUUCGUG
RNAcentral lists this ribosomal RNA (497 nucleotides) under uncultured bacterium. RNAcentral describes it as "partial 16S ribosomal RNA". It matches the Rfam family "Bacterial small subunit ribosomal RNA", at positions 28 to 507 of the family's 1533-position model. The record is from RNAcentral.